Non-coding RNA from Erinaceus europaeus (western European hedgehog), 203 nucleotides. The record is from Rfam. NCBI's taxonomy places the organism in Eukaryota, Metazoa, Chordata, Mammalia, Eulipotyphla, Erinaceidae.
AGUUGACUGAUUGUCCCUGCAAGCCAGCUAAUAUCAUAAUUAACUAAGUUGCUACUCCGUCUGCAAAGUUGAAUCGAAAGAUCGGCCAGUGAUAGGAGGCAUUGUCAUAAAGCUCACAAGGGAUAUAAGAGUCGACUGGACUCACAGGAGAACAGCAGAGCUGUGUAAGGCAAGAUGAGAGACAGUCAACUUGUUCAGCCAAA